GUGGAAAGCUUCAGAGAUAACUAAAGGGCUUAAGACUGGAAACUGAAGAACUCAGAAGCUCAGGAUCUCAGAGAGGAUGCUGACUGGUGAUGUCUGACCCUCGUUAAGUGUCUGGAUUUGGUUGUGGAUCUUGGGGAGAACAGCACCCUCUUGAAAGUGGACUUUCUAAGCGUCAAUGUAAGAAGCUGAAUCACAGCCUCCUCCUAUGGAAAGUGAUAGUUCAUAGAGAUGGCUAUUUUAAGAGUAUCUGUAAAGCCCAGAACUGAAAGUUUCAUUUUACUGGAGUCAGCAGCAGGUGGAAUGAUUGGAAUAGAGAGGGAAAAGAGACAUCCAUGUCAACGACUUCAUCAAGGUUUAUUUUUCAUUCCUUCCACAGUCCUGCUGCUGAAAUAUGGUCUGACUGCUUUGCUGUAUCAUUCGGGAAAGCACCAGCAGAAUAUGACUCAAGGCAAACAGUUUCACAGUCUCAUUGAUGUAAAGAGCAGAAGAAUUCAUCUUUUGGGUUGUUUACU
Molecule: long non-coding RNA, 512 nt
Filed under: Equus caballus (horse)
Lineage: Eukaryota; Metazoa; Chordata; Mammalia; Perissodactyla; Equidae
Description: lncRNA (ENSECAG00000041800.2)
Source: RNAcentral